This 301-nucleotide ribosomal RNA is filed under the name uncultured bacterium. Its description in RNAcentral is "partial 16S ribosomal RNA". It matches the Rfam family "Bacterial small subunit ribosomal RNA", at positions 509 to 809 of the family's 1533-position model. The record is from RNAcentral.
CAGUCGCCGCGGGAAUACGUAGGGUGCAAGCGUUAAUCGGAAUUACUGGGCGUAAAGCGUGCGCAGGCGGUUAUAUAAGACAGAUGUGAAAUCCCCGGGCUCAACCUGGGAACUGCAUUUGUGACUGUAUAGCUAGAGUACGGCAGAGGGGGAUGGAAUUCCGCGUGUAGCAGUGAAAUGCGUAGAUAUGCGGAGGAACACCGAUGGCGAAGGCAAUCCCCUGGGCCUGUACUGACGCUCAUGCACGAAAGCGUGGGGAGCAAACAGGAUUAGAUACCCCUGUAGCCCUGUCUCUUAUACA